This 403-nucleotide ribosomal RNA is filed under the name uncultured Vagococcus sp. RNAcentral describes it as "bacterial SSU rRNA". It matches the Rfam family "Bacterial small subunit ribosomal RNA", at positions 28 to 396 of the family's 1533-position model. The record is from RNAcentral. Lineage: Bacteria; Bacillati; Bacillota; Bacilli; Lactobacillales; Enterococcaceae.
GACGAACGCUGGCGGCGUGCCUAAUACAUGCAAGUCGGACGCUUCUUUUUCCACCUGGUGCUUGCACCAACCGGAGAAAGAGGAGUGGCGGACGGGUGAGUAACACGUGGGUAACCUGCCCAUUAGAAGGGGAUAACACUUGGAAACAGGUGCUAAUACCGUAUAAUUCUUACGACCGCAUGGUCGUUUGUAUAAAAGAACGCUUUCGGGUUGGUCACUAAUGGAUGGACCCGCCGCUGCAUUAGUUAGUUGGUGAGGUAACGGCGUCACCAAGACCAUGAUGCAUAGCCGACCCUGAGAGGGUGAUCGGCCACACUGGGGACUGAGACACGGCCCGACGACUCCUACGGGAGGGCAGCAGUAGGGGAAUCUUCGGCAAUGGACAAAGUCUGACCGAGCAACG